CCUACGGGCGGCAGCAGUGAGGAAUAUUGGUCAAUGGGCGCGAGCCUGAACCAGCCAAGUAGCGUGCAGGAUGACUGCCCUACGGGUUGUAAGCUUCUUUUUUAAAGGAAUAAAGUGAGGCACGUGUGCCUUUUUGUAUGUACUUUAUGAUUAAGGAUCGGCUAACUCCGUGCCAGCAGCCGCGGUAAUACGAAGGAUCCGUGCGUUAUCCUGAUUUAUUGGGUUUAAAGUUAGCGUAGAGGGGUUGUUAAGUCAGGUGUGAAAGUUUGCGGCUCAACCGUAAAAUUGCAAUUGAUACUGGCAGCCUUGAGUACAGUUGAGGUAGGCGGAAUUCGUGGUGUAGCGGUGAAAUGCUUAGAUAUAACGAAGAACACCGAUUGCGAAGGCAGCUUACUAAACUGCCACUGACAUUGAUGCUCGAAAGUGUGGGUAUCAAACAGGAUUAGAUACCCCAGUAGUC
This 460-nucleotide ribosomal RNA is filed under the name uncultured bacterium. RNAcentral describes it as "partial 16S ribosomal RNA". It matches the Rfam family "Bacterial small subunit ribosomal RNA", at positions 338 to 795 of the family's 1533-position model. The record is from RNAcentral.